This 523-nucleotide ribosomal RNA is filed under the name uncultured Actinomyces sp. Its description in RNAcentral is "partial 16S ribosomal RNA". The record is from RNAcentral. Lineage: Bacteria; Bacillati; Actinomycetota; Actinomycetes; Actinomycetales; Actinomycetaceae.
CACGUAGUUAGCCGGCGCUUCUUUACCCACUACCCUCACCUCAACCCAAAGCUGCGGCUUGACCAUGAGCGAAAGAGGUUUACAACCCGAAGGCCUCCAUCCCUCACGCGGCGUCGCUGCAUCAGGCUUUCGCCCAUUGUGCAAUAUUCCCCACUGCUGCCUCCCGUAGGAGUCUGGGCCGUAUCUCAGUCCCAAUGUGACCGGUCACCCUCUCAGGCCGGCUACCCGUCAAAGCCUUGGUAGGCCAUCACCCCACCAACAAGCUGAUAGGCCGCGAGCCCAUCCCCCACCAGAAAAACCUUUCCACCAACCCCCAUGCGAAGGCAAGUGAAUAUCCAGUAUUAGCACCCGUUUCCGGCGUUAUCCCAAAGAAGAGGCAGGUUACUCACGUGUUACUCACCCGUUCGCCACUCAUCCACCCAGCAAGCUGGGCUUCAGCGUUCGACUUGCAUGUGUUAAGCACGCCGCCAGCGUUCGUCCUGUACGCCGUACGGACUCAAACGUACCUCUAGACGUACGUACG